CUAUGCGUGGCCACGUGAAGGAAGGAUUGGAGCCCAGAGCUGGGGCGGGGUUGGCUCCUGCCUGCUAGCUGGAGAAACCUAAGCAAGAAGUUGGAGGGUCUAAAAGGAGCUCUUUCACUUGCAUCUCCUCAUACAGAGAAGUGGUACUUACCUGCCCACGCCACACCUUUUCCUCUGGAAAUUUCUGCCGCUCGACCCCACUUGAGAAGAGAAUGUGGCUAUAUGUGGGUGUCAGGCUUCCUAUUUUAAGUCUUCCACUAGCAGCCUUUGGAUGAAG
Molecule: long non-coding RNA, 277 nt
Organism: Mus musculus (house mouse)
Lineage: Eukaryota; Metazoa; Chordata; Mammalia; Rodentia; Muridae
Product: predicted gene, 39098
Exons: 3
Source: RefSeq, a predicted model, not a curated record